ACUCAAAGGAAUUGACGGGGGCCCGCACAAGCGGUGGAGCAUGUGGUUUAAUUCGACGCAACGCGAAGAACCUUACCCAGACUUGACAUCGAUGGAACCCUGUAGAGAUAUGGGGGUGCCCGCAAGGGCCCAGAAGACAGGUGCUGCAUGGCUGUCGUCAGCUCGUGUCGUGAGAUGUUGGGUUAAGUCCCGCAACGAGCGCAACCCUCGUCGUUAGUUGCCAUCACGUAAUGGUGGGCACUCUAGCGAGACUGCCGGUGUCAAACCGGAGGAAGGUGGGGAUGACGUCAAGUCCUCAUGGCCUUUAUGUCUGGGGCUACACACGUGCUACAAUGGCUGCUACAGAGUGACGCUAAUCCGCAAGGUAGAGCAAAUCACAAAAAAGCAGUCUCAGUUCGGAUCGGAGUCUGCAACUCGACUUCGUGAAGUCGGAAUCGCUAGUAAUCGAGGAUCAGCAUGCCUCGGUGAAUACGUUCCCGGGCCUUGCACACACCGCCCGU
This 500-nucleotide ribosomal RNA is filed under the name uncultured bacterium. Its description in RNAcentral is "partial 16S ribosomal RNA". It matches the Rfam family "Bacterial small subunit ribosomal RNA", at positions 899 to 1397 of the family's 1533-position model. The record is from RNAcentral.